This is a long non-coding RNA of Daphnia magna, 2555 nucleotides long. RefSeq lists it as uncharacterized. The record is from RefSeq and is a predicted model, not a curated record. The transcript is spliced from 12 exons. NCBI's taxonomy places the organism in Eukaryota, Metazoa, Arthropoda, Branchiopoda, Diplostraca, Daphniidae.
CGCAGGGCAACUGCAAAUUUAGAUCACGCCAUCUCAGAGCCUCAGGGACCUUGUUGGGCGACGCACAUUGGAAUUUGGAAUUGGAUGCAUGUACGACUUGAUGUGGCGUUGCAUGUGGAACGCCCCGUCAGUAUUGUUUGCAGACUGGUCAUUUGAUGAUACAUUUUCACAGUGGUAGUGCUUGGGUGCCUCAAGAGGGAAUCGCUGAGCAUAGCCACCCAUAGACCUAAAAGUCAUAGAAGAUUUUUAAAACUGUUAUUUGAUUUUGUGUUGUUUCAGCAGUAGUAUGUUCUUCAACAAUUUGUUAUGUCCAACCAUGGAAUGAGUCGCAUGUGACUAAGUCAACCAAACGGGGCAACAACAAUUAGACAGCAAUGAAAUUAGUCAGUGGAAAACAACACAUUCAUUCCUGAGCUAACGGAAGGAUUCCUCUUUUUCACAGAAAUUUUACCAUUUUCAUCUUAACUGCUUGCCGGUGGAUUGUCACUUGGCAUUAUUUGAAUGUGUUUGCAUUUCUUCAAGUUUGGUCCAUAUCAGCAGUGUUAUGAUGCACUUCUUAAGUACACCAAUCCCUCAGAAAAUAUUCUAAUUGAAAUUAUGAAACUUUCUGCCCUUCAUGCAGAACUGCACAAUGAUGGGUUCAUAUAAACAAGCUUGAAAUAACAAAUCAACAGACUAGGUAGUAUGAAAUAUCUACUCUUGGAAGUUUUUGUCUAUGGAUUUGUUUGAGAUGACCCUUGAGGCAGGAAGCUUUUCCUGCUUCUUACAAAAAGGGACAUUGGAUGCCUUAAUGUCUAAUACCAACCAAGUGUCAUUGCAAAGAUAGGUAGAAUAAUCGCAAUGUCGUGGUAGUAAUUCACGAGAGAUAUGCUAAUAGGGUUUCGCUGUUUUCAAUUCGCAAUCAUAAUGGAUUCAAAGAGGAUAUUGAUGGAGUUUUGGUAUAAAAAAAAAUAAGUACAUGUUCGUUGGAAGGGUAACCGAAGAGUUCCGGAUCCUUAUACUAUCGUGCAUGUUAUAGUAUUUUUACAAAAUCAUAGAAGUGCUUAUCUGGGCCCCUUGUUUUCUGUGGCCCCGUUCCCCCUUGACUUAUAUUAUUUUCUUUAACCCUUUAGUGCGUGUAAAACUAAAGGCUAAAAGAAGAAGAAUGAUUCAAAAAAUUGUGGGAGAGACUCAUCAAAGAAUUAUACUCGUUUAGGUAAUCCAAGGAAAUAAGAAAGAGUAGUAACUCGGCGCAGUCUUCGAUUUCAUCUUUUUAAAAGCUGUUUUUAUUGUGGGAAUUUUUUGGUCGAGACGUUAUGGGUGUCUUAAAUGCACUGGAGGUUGCGUUAGAUGUCAUAAUCCCCAGCAAAAAGGGAACGCUGAAAAUCCCAGGUGGCGAUGGUAAUUAGUGGCAAUGUUACGUUGUAGGUAACUUCAGAAAAUGUGACGCUAGCUGAGGUAAACCGCACCAGCUGUGCUAUUACCGAGUCUGUCUCAUUUUGCCGUCUAGCAGGAAAAGGUUGUGAGAGUAGCAGAAGAAGAGGAAAUUGCAGUAAACCUGGUUUUGAAAGAAGCCAAACAUUCUUAUGAUAUUGGAGCUCAGCCUGUGGAAACAAAAAUGGGCUGAAAACACAAAAAAACCCCAUGUUUCAAAUAGAAAGACUCGUUGAGAAGGUUGUGAAAAGGUUGUGAGAGUAGCAGAAGAAGAAAAUUGCAGUAAACCCGGUUUUGAAAGAAGCCAAACAUUCCGAUGAUAUGGGAGCUCAGCCCGUGGAAACGAAAACCCUAUGUUUCAGAUAGAAAGACAAAAGAAACACAUCGUUCCUCAGCUACAUCUGAGGACUACUCUCACCGAAAGAAAAUCACCUCGCUUAUAGACUCGGAAGGUGAAAGCGAGACCCACAAAUUUGCAACAACGAAGCAAGUAAGAAGUAUUUUGGCAGAUUAUCGUGCACGCAAAGCUAAAUAGUCAAUUAAAUAAAAUUUUCUUAACACAUUUUACAUGACCAUUCGUUUAAAACGAUAUGUCCUCCACUGCUAGUUACAGAAGACAAUUUGUAAAUACGUCACAACAUGCCCAUAAAAAUUCUACGGAGUUAGUUAUUUCUCCCCUAGAUGUCUUGAAAAUAUACUGGAAAUGUCAGCUGUCCCGUCGGCUGUUCUAUUUCGCGUGGCCUCGGACUGAGGAUGGUUGCUGAAACGAACGUCUCUAUUUUUGAAAUUUUACCACCGAUUCCGUGUGUUUUCAGUUGCAUCAUGUGAAUUCCAUCAAUGCAGAGUUGUUCAAGGAGGAACAUGGCUUGGCUUUGCCAUCACGUUUUUCAUCUCCGUUAGUUUGAUAUACCCAUUUUGUUUCAAAGAUCUUUGGGAUGUACCUGAUGUACUGUGGUGGCCGCAAAAUCAUUCAAUGACUUGGUUCAAUCCAGGUCUUAGUUUUUUCAAUAGUGGUUUACAGUUUUAAUUUGCAGAGAUCCUGGAUGACCUGAUGUGUUUCAUUGGUGUUGGAGUCACUCGGUGACAGAAGAGAAUGCCACUAAUGUUAUGUUGUCAGUGUAAAUAAAUCAUAUCCAGUAUCA